RNAcentral lists this ribosomal RNA (2771 nucleotides) under Klebsiella pneumoniae. Its description in RNAcentral is "bacterial LSU rRNA". It matches the Rfam family "Bacterial large subunit ribosomal RNA". The record is from RNAcentral. Lineage: Bacteria; Pseudomonadati; Pseudomonadota; Gammaproteobacteria; Enterobacterales; Enterobacteriaceae.
AGCGUACACGGUGGAUGCCCUGGCAGUCAGAGGCGAUGAAGGACGUGCUAAUCUGCGAAAAGCGUCGGUAAGGUGAUAUGAACCGUUAUAACCGGCGAUGUCCGAAUGGGGAAACCCAGUGCAAUUCGUUGCACUAUCGUUAACUGAAUACAUAGGUUAACGAGGCGAACCGGGGGAACUGAAACAUCUAAGUACCCCGAGGAAAAGAAAUCAACCGAGAUUCCCCCAGUAGCGGCGAGCGAACGGGGAGCAGCCCAGAGUCUGAAUCAGCUUGUGUGUUAGUGGAACGGUCUGGAAAGUCCGACGGUACAGGGUGAUAGUCCCGUACACCAAAAUGCACAGGCUGUGAACUCGAAGAGUAGGGCGGGACACGUGGUAUCCUGUCUGAAUAUGGGGGGACCAUCCUCCAAGGCUAAAUACUCCUGACUGACCGAUAGUGAACCAGUACCGUGAGGGAAAGGCGAAAAGAACCCCGGCGAGGGGAGUGAAAAAGAACCUGAAACCGUGUACGUACAAGCAGUGGGAGCACCUUCGGGUGUGACUGCGUACCUUUUGUAUAAUGGGUCAGCGACUUAUAUUCUGUAGCAAGGUUAACCGUAUAGGGGAGCCGCAGGGAAACCGAGUCUUAACUGGGCGUUAAGUUGCAGGGUAUAGACCCGAAACCCGGUGAUCUAGCCAUGGGCAGGUUGAAGGUUGGGUAACACUAACUGGAGGACCGAACCGACUAAUGUUGAAAAAUUAGCGGAUGACUUGUGGCUGGGGGUGAAAGGCCAAUCAAACCGGGAGAUAGCUGGUUCUCCCCGAAAGCUAUUUAGGUAGCGCCUCGUGAAUUCAUCUUCGGGGGUAGAGCACUGUUUCGGCUAGGGGGUCAUCCCGACUUACCAACCCGAUGCAAACUACGAAUACCGAAGAAUGUUAUCACGGGAGACACACGGCGGGUGCUAACGUCCGUCGUGAAGAGGGAAACAACCCAGACCGCCAGCUAAGGUCCCAAAGUCAUGGUUAAGUGGGAAACGAUGUGGGAAGGCACAGACAGCCAGGAUGUUGGCUUAGAAGCAGCCAUCAUUUAAAGAAAGCGUAAUAGCUCACUGGUCGAGUCGGCCUGCGCGGAAGAUGUAACGGGGCUAAACCAUGCACCGAAGCUGCGGCAGCGACACUAUGUGUUGUUGGGUAGGGGAGCGUUCUGUAAGCCUGCGAAGGUGUGCUGUGAGGCAUGCUGGAGGUAUCAGAAGUGCGAAUGCUGACAUAAGUAACGAUAAAGCGGGUGAAAAGCCCGCUCGCCGGAAGACCAAGGGUUCCUGUCCAACGUUAAUCGGGGCAGGGUGAGUCGACCCCUAAGGCGAGGCCGAAAGGCGUAGUCGAUGGGAAACAGGUUAAUAUUCCUGUACUUGGUGUUACUGCGAAGGGGGGACGGAGAAGGCUAUGUUAGCCGGGCGACGGUUGUCCCGGUUUAAGCAUGUAGGCUGAUUAUCCAGGCAAAUCCGGAUAAUCAAGGCUGAGGUGUGAUGACGAGGCACUACGGUGCUGAAGUAACAAAUGCCCUGCUUCCAGGAAAAGCCUCUAAGCAUCAGGUAACAUCAAAUCGUACCCCAAACCGACACAGGUGGUCAGGUAGAGAAUACCAAGGCGCUUGAGAGAACUCGGGUGAAGGAACUAGGCAAAAUGGUGCCGUAACUUCGGGAGAAGGCACGCUGGUGUGUAGGUGAAGCCCCUGCGGGUGGAGCUGAGACCAGUCGAAGAUACCAGCUGGCUGCAACUGUUUAUUAAAAACACAGCACUGUGCAAACACGAAAGUGGACGUAUACGGUGUGACGCCUGCCCGGUGCCGGAAGGUUAAUUGAUGGGGUUAUCCGUAAGGAGAAGCUCUUGAUCGAAGCCCCGGUAAACGGCGGCCGUAACUAUAACGGUCCUAAGGUAGCGAAAUUCCUUGUCGGGUAAGUUCCGACCUGCACGAAUGGCGUAAUGAUGGCCAGGCUGUCUCCACCCGAGACUCAGUGAAAUUGAACUCGCUGUGAAGAUGCAGUGUACCCGCGGCAAGACGGAAAGACCCCGUGAACCUUUACUAUAGCUUGACACUGAACAUUGAGCCUUGAUGUGUAGGAUAGGUGGGAGGCUUUGAAGCGUGGACGCCAGUCUGCGUGGAGCCAACCUUGAAAUACCACCCUUUAAUGUUUGAUGUUCUAACGUUGGCCCCUGACCGGGGUUGCGGACAGUGUCUGGUGGGUAGUUUGACUGGGGCGGUCUCCUCCCAAAGCGUAACGGAGGAGCACGAAGGUUAGCUAAUCCUGGUCGGACAUCAGGAGGUUAGUGCAAUGGCAUAAGCUAGCUUGACUGCGAGCGUGACGGCGCGAGCAGGUGCGAAAGCAGGUCAUAGUGAUCCGGUGGUUCUGAAUGGAAGGGCCAUCGCUCAACGGAUAAAAGGUACUCCGGGGAUAACAGGCUGAUACCGCCCAAGAGUUCAUAUCGACGGCGGUGUUUGGCACCUCGAUGUCGGCUCAUCACAUCCUGGGGCUGAAGUAGGUCCCAAGGGUAUGGCUGUUCGCCAUUUAAAGUGGUACGCGAGCUGGGUUUAGAACGUCGUGAGACAGUUCGGUCCCUAUCUGCCGUGGGCGCUGGAGAAUUGAGGGGGGCUGCUCCUAGUACGAGAGGACCGGAGUGGACGCAUCACUGGUGUUCGGGUUGUCAUGCCAAUGGCACUGCCCGGUAGCUAAAUGCGGAAGAGAUAAGUGCUGAAAGCAUCUAAGCACGAAACUUGCCCCGAGAUGAGUUCU